RNAcentral lists this ribosomal RNA (497 nucleotides) under uncultured bacterium. RNAcentral's name for it is "partial 16S ribosomal RNA". It matches the Rfam family "Bacterial small subunit ribosomal RNA", at positions 28 to 507 of the family's 1533-position model. The record is from RNAcentral.
GAUGAACGCUGGCGGCGUGCCUAAUACAUGCAAGUCGAGCGAACGGACGAGAAGCUUGCUUCUCUGAUGUUAGCGGCGGACGGGUGAGUAACACGUGGAUAACCUACCUAUAAGACUGGGAUAACUUCGGGAAACCGGAGCUAAUACCGGAUAAUAUUUUGAACCGCAUGGUUCAAAAGUGAAAGACGGUCUUGCUGUCACUUAUAGAUGGAUCCGCGCUGCAUUAUCUAGUUGGUAAGGUAACGGCUUACCAAGGCAACGAUGCAUAGCCGACCUGAGAGGGUGAUCGGCCACACUGGAACUGAGACACGGUCCAGACUCCUACGGGAGGCAGCAGUAGGGAAUCUUCCGCACUGGGCGAAAGCCUGACGGAGCAACGCCGCGUGAGUGAUGAAGGUCUUCGGAUCGUAAAACUCUGUUAUUAGGGAAGAACAUAUGUGUAAGUAACUGUGCACAUCUUGACGGUACCUAAUCAGAAAGCCACGGCUAACUACGUG